This is a long non-coding RNA of Passer domesticus (house sparrow), 3400 nucleotides long. RefSeq lists it as uncharacterized. NCBI's taxonomy places the organism in Eukaryota, Metazoa, Chordata, Aves, Passeriformes, Passeridae. The transcript is spliced from 5 exons. The record is from RefSeq and is a predicted model, not a curated record.
UGUUGAACAGAAGUCCAAAUUAGUAAAACCAAUACUGAAAGUAAAAUAAAUGAACACACAAAGCUACUCUUCUGAACACACAAAGCUCUCAUCAGACAUAAAUCUUAUUUUCUGUGAUGUAGUAUUAUUUAUUAUUUGUUAAAGUAUUUCAGCUCUGGGGCUGUUUAAAAUGUUACGUCAUAAUUACAGAAUUAAUUUGUGAGACACUUAUUUAAAAUACUAUAAAGCAAACUUCUGCCUCCAAUUAAAUGGCAGAUUAGAUCUAUACAAUUAAAUAAUUUCAGAGAUUAAUUGUUUCAUGUCUGUAAAUAUCACAGGGUUAAAUCUGGAAACAAAAGCAGACAAUUUAUUAAUUACUUUAUAUAAAUAUGCAGAUACAUAUAUAUGCAUAUGUUUUUAAAAUAUGUAUACACAUAUAUCUCUAAGUGACGCUAUCCUAUUGAUAUGGCAAAAGAAGUUGAUCCAGUCGUAGAUCUAAUAUCUGUAUUUCAGCAAUCUGUAAUGAAAUUUUUAUACAUGCAUUGUUCAGGAAAGAACAGCUAGUACAAAAUCAACCGUAAAAGCUUGAUAACUGUAGUUAUUGAAAUAAUUUAAAAGCAAAUCAGCAUUUGAGAAGUGUUGGUCAGAAAACUUUAAUCAAAGCAGACUGGGGAUUUCUAUGUGUAACCUCUUUCAUGAGACAAGUCCCAAGGUCCUUUAGAAAAUAAUGAAAUUAGCAAUGCAAAUAUUGAUGAAUGUAGUAGGUCAAACAAAGCUGUCCUUGCUCUUGAGAGUGCUGCUACUGUUAAGUCAACAAACCAAGGGAUUCCAGAUGCAAAAAAAGUGCAAGCCUCAAAGCCAGGCAUGCUAGGUUUUUGGUAAGGAUCAAAAAGAGUGUUGAAAACAGUUUGCAAGUCUUGGUUUUGGUUUCUAUAUAAUUGUUAUAUUUCAUUGUGUCUAUUUGCUCUAGGGCUUUUUUGCUUCUUAGGGACAAUCUUUGACGUAUUCAUGAACGUGCCAAAUCUUUCCUGUAGGACAGUGAUGAACAGUCAUAACAAUGGUAAGGAAGAAAAGAUGUGAAGAUGCAUUUGAACAAUUCUCAUUGGAAGAGUCUUUUAUUUUACCCAGCUUCUCUCCUGAGACUACUGAGCUGAGCAGAGUGAAACCAAUUGUUGAGACAUCAUGCAUGGAUCUAAGGGACCAAUGGUAGUAGUGAAUAUACAAGAUAUCCUGGGAGAAACCUGAGACCACCUAAAAGCAGCUCUAAGAUGCGUUCAACUCACAUUCACAGAGCAAUGUUCUCCUUGAAUGGGAAGAUCCAGAUCAAAGGCAAGUGGGACACCUCUUGGAUGUUAAGACCCAUGAAAGCUGGAGGAAGAAUUCAGGCAGCCAGAAGCCACACAAUGAGACAGGACACUUCAAAGUCAUCAGCUACAUUCCCAGGAGGCAGUGCACAUAGGCUUCAGAUGUUUUUAUGUAGAUGCAUUACAAGGUAGCAUCAAAAAUCUGCACUGGGACUCUGUGAUACUCGUGUGUUGCUGGGAAUUUCUGGUUUCAGUCUCAGGUGAUGUAAAAAAAAAUCUGAUGGUUAUUAAAAAUAUGAAAAAGUGAUAGUUCCACUGUUUUGGCUAAAUACACAUUAAAUUUUCACUCCCUUAAAAUUUAAACAAUGCAACUCUCCCCCUUGGUUAGUGCACUGCAACCAUCCAGGUAAGCAGGACAGCUGAGAAAAAAUUUUGGACAUUCUUCUGCCAAAAUUUACUGUUGUAUUUCAGUAACUCAUUAAGUGUUUUUUAGAGCAGGUUUGGAGUGAAUAAGAUCUAGCUUUCUAGCUUUUUUCCACUUGGUUGUUCUCGUUCAGGAAACCUAUUGGAACUAAAACCUGUAAGUUUACAUCUAUGGUGGAAAAGGAACAUCAGCCCUAAGGGCACAGUUCUAAUUCUCCUUUCUGUUUUUUUUUUGUUUUGUUUGGGAUGGGUUUUUCACUUUAUUUUGGCGGUGGGUUUUUUGUUUAGUUUGGGUUUUUUUCACUCUGAAGAAGGUAAAUGACAAGGUGAAGUUACCCCAUGAUUUUUGCAAAGGCAAGGUCCGUGCUCCCAGGCUGGUGCUGUCUGUCCAUCCAACCCAGCGGUACCCACUGUGCACAUCUGCUGCUCAGAUGGGAGCUGCUCGGAUGGGAGCUGCUCGGAUGGGAGCACACAGCCCAGCACUCCCUCGGUGCCUCAGUGCGAGCUCAGGAAUGGCACACGGGUGACAGAGCACAGAGGUGACACAGCACACGGUGACAGCACACAGUGACACAGCACAUGGCUGACAGAGCACACACACAAACCCCGACACACACCCAGCCUGCCCCACUGGGCACAGGUUCUCAUUUCUGUCUGCAUCCCUAACAGCAGAGUAAGGUGUGGGAAUUCUCUCUCUCUUGCCUUCUUUUUUUCAGUGUAACUAACUCUAAAGCACAUGGGAGGUUAUCUUCAAUUCAAAGCUGGUAUGUAGGACAAAUAUAAACUAUAAUUAAAUUAUAGGUUACUAUAUAAUUAGUAAGACCAUGGUACCACAGAGUACUAGAAGAGGAGGUUUUUCUUUGGUUUAAAUAUUCAAAUAAAGAUACAUAUGUACAACUUCUCAAGGAAACUUAUUCUGCACAACUGUGCCCAUAUCUCAGACUGAAAAAGUCAAUUACCUUAAAAAAAUUAUUCUUAGCUAAUUGUAUUAUCUUUUCAGUAAGUUUUAGAAGCAUGACAAAGCUAGUUCUGAAGGAAGACUAAACCAAAAGGGGUGGAAGGUUUGAAGAAAUGUGUUCUCUCUGGUUGCAGUCCUUCCUCAACCCUGGUCUUGCACACGUGCUGCCAGCAGUGACAAAUCUUCCUGUUCUUUUUUUAUAAUUGUUUUGCAUCUCCUCUGUUCCUAUUUGCAGCUUGUAAUAUGCUGUAUUGUAAAGGCGUUCCUUACUCUUUUUUUCUAGAAGUGGGACUAAACUGCCAGCUAGACAUUGAACUGAGAUAAGGCAUAAGGCAGGCAGGCCAACUCCAACUUUAACUCUACAACAAUUCAAGGCUGAUUUAUAUUUUGAACUGUCACUCUAUGGUUUACAAGGGGAAAAGUGUGAGCAAAGAUUGAGAUUUUCCUUCUAUAAAUUGUGGAAGGGUGAGGGGGAAGUGACAGAUCUCAUUUAAAAGCCUUAUUGAAGUAGCCGUGUUGAAUGAUGGUGCCAUUGCUUGUCUCUAUGUCUUAUUGUCAUAAUGUAAAGCCUUUUAUAAUUAGAAGAAACCACAGAAGUCAGGGUAAAGUACAACAGAUCCAGAAAGAGCUGGAAACUUGAGGAAGGGGGGGGAAAAAGCAAACCAAAAAAACCACAAAAAACCAAAAAACAAACAACAAUAGACACAGGCUGGAGAAGAUAUUUUAUUUAUUUGUU